This 440-nucleotide ribosomal RNA is filed under the name uncultured bacterium. RNAcentral's name for it is "bacterial SSU rRNA". It matches the Rfam family "Bacterial small subunit ribosomal RNA", at positions 338 to 777 of the family's 1533-position model. The record is from RNAcentral.
CCUACGGGUGGCUGCAGUCGAGAAUCUUCGGCAAUGGGCGCAAGCCUGACCGAGCGACACCGCGUGCGGGAUGAAGGCCUUCGGGUUGUAAACCGCUGUCGUAGGGGAGGAAGGUCCGGUGUAGAGCCGGGCUUGACCGAUCCUAGGAGGAAGGGCCGGCUAAUCUCGUGCCAGCAGCCGCGGUAAUACGAGAGGCCCAAACGUUAUUCGGAUUUACUGGGCUUAAAGAGUUCGUAGGCGGCGCGGAAAGUAGGGUGUGAAAGCCCUCGGCUCAACCGAGGAACUGCGCUCUAAACUGCCGUGCUUGAGGAACCUAGAGGUGAGCGGAACUGAUGGUGGAGCGGUGAAAUGCGUUGAUAUCAUCAGGAACACCGGAGGCGAAGGCGGCUCACUGGGGGUUAUCUGACGCUGAGGAACGAAAGCCAGGGGAGCAAACGGGA